CCUGUUGCCACAAACCCGUAGAUCCGAACUUGUGGUGGUAGUCUGCACAAGCUUGUGUCUACAGGUAUGUGUCUGUUAGG
Molecule: microRNA precursor, 80 nt
Organism: Echinops telfairi (small Madagascar hedgehog)
Lineage: Eukaryota; Metazoa; Chordata; Mammalia; Afrosoricida; Tenrecidae
Source: Ensembl